Molecule: transfer RNA, 73 nt
Filed under: Camelus bactrianus (Bactrian camel)
Lineage: Eukaryota; Metazoa; Chordata; Mammalia; Artiodactyla; Camelidae
Also listed under: 2 other names
Rfam family: tRNA
About the family: Transfer RNA (tRNA) molecules are approximately 80 nucleotides in length. Their secondary structure includes four short double-helical elements and three loops (D, anti-codon, and T loops). Further hydrogen bonds mediate the characteristic L-shaped molecular structure. tRNAs have two regions of fundamental functional importance: the anti-codon, which is responsible for specific mRNA codon recognition, and the 3' end, to which the tRNAs corresponding amino acid is attached (by aminoacyl-tRNA synthetases). tRNAs cope with the degeneracy of the genetic code in two manners: having more than one tRNA (with a specific anti-codon) for a particular amino acid; and 'wobble' base-pairing, i.e. permitting non-standard base-pairing at the 3rd anti-codon position.
Source: Rfam by way of RNAcentral
GAGGGUGUAGCUCAAGUGGUAGAGCAUGUGCUUAGCAUGCAUGAGGUCCUGGGUUCAAUCCCCAGUGCCUCCU